UGAGCAAUCUGCCCUUCCCAUCGGAAUAAGCGUUGGAAACGACGUCUAAUGCCGAAUACGACCACCUUUCGCAUGAUCGGAGGUGGAAAGCUCCGGCGGAGAAGGAUGAGCUCGCGGCCUAUCAGCUAGUUGGUGUGGGUAAUGGCCCACCAAGGCGACGACGGGUAGCCGGCCUGAGAGGGGUGACCGGCCAUACUAGGACUGAGACACGGCCCAGACUCCCGUACCGGGAGGG
This 235-nucleotide ribosomal RNA is filed under the name uncultured bacterium. RNAcentral describes it as "partial 16S ribosomal RNA". It matches the Rfam family "Bacterial small subunit ribosomal RNA", at positions 118 to 348 of the family's 1533-position model. The record is from RNAcentral.